This 378-nucleotide ribosomal RNA is filed under the name uncultured eukaryote. RNAcentral's name for it is "partial 18S ribosomal RNA". It matches the Rfam family "Eukaryotic small subunit ribosomal RNA", at positions 592 to 976 of the family's 1831-position model. The record is from RNAcentral.
CAAUAGCGUAUAUUAAAGUUGUUGCAGUUAAAAAGCUCGUAGUUGGAUUUCGGGACGGGCCAGUUGGUCCGCCGCAAGGUGUGUUACUGACUGGUCUGUUCUUCUUCGCAAAGACUGCGUGUGCUCUUCGUUGAGUGUGCGUAGGAUUUACGACGUUUACUUUGAAAAAAUUAGAGUGUUCAAAGCAGGCUAUCGCUUGAAUACAUGAGCAUGGAAUAAUGGAAUAGGACUUUGGUCCUAUUUUGUUGGUUUCUAGGACCGAAGUAAUGAUUAAGAGGGACAAUUGGGGGCAUCCGUAUUUCGUUGUCAGAGGUGAAAUUCUUGGAUUUACGAAAGACGAACAACUGCGAAAGCAUUUGCCAAGAGUGUUUUCAUUAA